Molecule: long non-coding RNA, 765 nt
Filed under: Callithrix jacchus (white-tufted-ear marmoset)
Lineage: Eukaryota; Metazoa; Chordata; Mammalia; Primates; Cebidae
Description: lncRNA (ENSCJAG00000078222.1)
Source: RNAcentral
GACCAAGCGUUCCUGGGAGCCAAUCCUCUGCAGCAGGGUUUACCUUCAAGGCUAUUUGAAAGCCAGAACAAAGAGAAUGAGUUUCACAUUCUCAAGCAACUGCCCUGAGGCCUGAAUUCUAAAAGGUGUUCCAGAAGCAGAGCUCACAGACUCUAAUCCUUGACCAUCAGAGUUCUCCCUGUAGCCCAUUUCAGGGUGACAGAAACGUCAGACUACAGCUGUGGAUCUCUACUCUUCCACUACCCUCCAGAAUGAUGAAUGUUGUCAGAAUGACACAGAAACUUGUUGGUAUGUAUCCAGCAUGGCCUGGUCCCAGAAACAAAGAUGAAAAUGGAAACAAUUCUUUCAGAGAUCCUUGAACACUUUAGACGGGGGAACUGAGGCCUGGAGUGGUCGAAUGACUUCUUUGAUUUUAUACAGUGUAUGAGAGGCAGCAUUAGCAUAUGAGAGGUCCUGAGACUCAAUGAAGUUUCAGUUACAAGAAGAAAAAUUUAGAGAUUCUGUUUGCCAUGUUGAUUGUCAUCUGCCAUCUAUCUAUAGCAUGCCUGCUAUCAAAAAAGAAAGAUAACAAAGUGAAAUAGAUACCAAUUCAGGAAUCAGAAUUUAUUUAUUUAUCCUGUAUUCACUGAGUAUCUUCCACAUUCUAGGCACUGUUCUAUGUUCUGGGGAAAAAGUAGUAAACAAAAUAGACAAAAUUCUUGUUUUCGUACCCUAUAGGCCGUGAGACAAGCAGUGAAUAUGUUUAAGAAAAACCCAAAACCAAAC